RNAcentral lists this ribosomal RNA (483 nucleotides) under uncultured bacterium. RNAcentral's name for it is "partial 16S ribosomal RNA". It matches the Rfam family "Bacterial small subunit ribosomal RNA", at positions 28 to 507 of the family's 1533-position model. The record is from RNAcentral.
GACGAACGCUGGCGGCGUGCUUAACACAUGCAAGUCGAACGCUGAAGCUCAGCUUUUGUUGGGUGGAUGAGUGGCGAACGGGUGAGUAACACGUGAGUAACCUGCCUCCUUCUUUGGGAUAACGCCCGGAAACGGGUGCUAAUACUGGAUAUUCACUGGUCUUCGCAUGGGGGUUGGUGGAAAGGGUUUUUCUGGUGGGGGAUGGGCUCGCGGCCUAUCAGCUUGUUGGUGGGGUGAUGGCCUACCAAGGCUUUGACGGGUAGCCGGCCUGAGAGGGUGACCGGUCACAUUGGGACUGAGAUACGGCCCAGACUCCUACGGGAGGCAGCAGUGGGGAAUAUUGCACAAUGGGCGCAAGCCUGAUGCGGCGACGCCGCGUGAGGGAUGGAGGCCUUCGGGUUGUGAACCUCUUUCGCUAAUGGUCAAGCCGCAACAAUGGUUGUGGUGAGGGUAGUGGGUAAAGAAGCGCCGGCUAACUACGUG